This 68-nucleotide transfer RNA is filed under the name Wiebesia pumilae. RNAcentral's name for it is "tRNA-Cys". It matches the Rfam family "tRNA". From Rfam's summary of the family: Transfer RNA (tRNA) molecules are approximately 80 nucleotides in length. The record is from RNAcentral. Lineage: Eukaryota; Metazoa; Arthropoda; Insecta; Hymenoptera; Agaonidae.
UAUUUAAUAGUUUAAGGAAAAAACUUUAAAUUGCAAAUUUAAAAAUGUUAUUAAUUUAACUUAAAUAU